UACGGAGGAUGCAAGCGUUAUCCGGAAUUAUUGGGCGUAAAGCGUCCGCAGGUGGCACUUCAAGUCUGCUGUCAAAGACCGGGGCUUAACCCUGGAAAGGCAGUGGAAACUGAAGCGCUAGAGUGUGGCAGGGGUAGAGGGAAUCCCCGGUGUAGCGGUGAAAUGCGUAGAGAUCGGGAAGAACAUCGGUGGCGAAAGCGCUCUACUGGGCCAUAACUGACACUCAGGGACGAAAGCUAGGGGAGCGAAUGGG
RNAcentral lists this ribosomal RNA (253 nucleotides) under uncultured bacterium. RNAcentral describes it as "partial 16S ribosomal RNA". It matches the Rfam family "Bacterial small subunit ribosomal RNA", at positions 524 to 776 of the family's 1533-position model. The record is from RNAcentral.